This 343-nucleotide unclassified non-coding RNA is filed under the name soil metagenome. RNAcentral's name for it is "partial contains 5.8S ribosomal RNA, internal transcribed spacer 2, and large subunit ribosomal RNA". The stretch from base 1 to 120 matches the Rfam family "5.8S ribosomal RNA", at positions 35 to 154 of the family's 154-position model. The record is from RNAcentral.
GAUGAAGAACGUAGCGAAAUGCGAUAAGUAAUGUGAAUUGCAGAAUUCAGUGAAUCAUCGAAUCUUUGAACGCACAUUGCGCCCGCUAGUAUUCUGGCGGGCAUGCCUGUCCGAGCGUCAUUUCAACCCUCAAGCCCCCGGGCUUGGUGUUGGGGAUCGGCGAGCCUCCGCGCCCGCCGUCCCCUAAAUCUAGUGGCGGUCUCGCUGUAGCUUCCUCUGCGUAGUAGCACACCUCGCACUGGGAACCAGCGCGGCCACGCCGUUAAACCCCCAACUUCUGAACGUUUGACCUCGGAUCAGGUAGGAAUACCCGCUGAACUUAAGCAUAUCAAUAAGCGGAGGA